UGUCCUGGGAGGGGGGGCUCUGGGCACCCAUCUCUGUGAUGAGCUCCCUCUUGGAGUCGUGGGGUGCUUACUUAUAAAACAGAGGUGUUACUAUUUGGCCCUCCAUCCUGCCUCCUCUUGUGGCUCCCGGAGAUGACAUAAGCCACUGAUUUGACACUCAGAGCAGACCUGCGCCAGGGAACUUGGGGACCCUUUUUCUUAGCAGAAUGAACCUCUUUCCUCCGUGUUCCACUUUUGAUCACCAUGUGGCCUGGUCUGUCACUUUCUGGCUUGUCCCCAUCGUUUAGGGGAGCUCAUUCAGGGCAGGGCUGCCCCCUGCCUGUGGCUGCCUCCCCUGUGCCUGGCAUACACCCUGGACAAGGGACGUGGAGGUGACCGGUCCUUAAUGCUGCCCAGUGAAGGCUGCAGUGGGCAAUGAACUCCACCUCUUACAGGGAGUAGAUCCAGGAGCAAGGGAGGCGGGACACCUGUGUGAUCCUUUACAGAUAGGAAAGAUGGGGUUCAGAGAUCCAGUGACUUUCCCAAAGCCACUGAGCUUUCAGUCUAGACCUGCCCAGGUCCGUCCCAGCCUCAGGGGUCUAAUGCAGUGGGGGGGUGGGGAGGGUGAGCAGCGCCCGAAAACCCGGAGUGCAAAGGAUCAGGUAAGACAGGGAAAAUCAGGUGGGUGACACUGCUGAGACACCACACUGACACCUGUCCUGCCUUUUCUUCCUUGUGGUGACCCUUGGAGACCUGAAGGUGGCCCCAGCGCCCCAUGAGCCUUCCUACCUCUCAGCACUGAGAUCUGGAAACCAGUUUUCCAAGCCCCUCGACAUCCUCCCUCUGGGUCACCCCCUUCUGGGAGGCACUUGAUAGCAUUUUAUACGGCUAUGCCUGGAUGAUGCCACUCAGUGGUGGUGAGCAGUUCUCCUGUUGCCCCAGGCUCAGGGCUUCAGCGCCUCCGCACCUCAUUCCCCCCACAAUCAUCCUGACGGCCAGGACGCCUCAUCGUGUUCCAUUUCGAAGACGAGGAAACUGAAACACAGAGCGAUGAAAUGACUUGCCUGAGGUCCCACGUCCAGGAAAUGGCAGAGCUGGGUUUUGAACCCAGGCACUUUUGGAGCCGGCACUGAUCGGCGGCAGUGAGCUACAGCCUUGCACUUCACAGAGGGCUGCCUGUCGCUGCCCUCCUGCGGCCAAGUUGGGCAGAUGACCUGGGUGCACCUGUGGGCCUCCUUGGGCAGGGGCCUUCCUGGGUUUCCCUGGAGACGCCGUGGAGUGGAGCAUACAAGGCAGCGACAGCAGAGGGAGGAGACAGGGCCGGGUGGGGGUCUGGACAGGAGCCCUCAGCUGGAGGGCAGGCCUACAGCACCCAACCUGGUUCAGGGGCCAGUGGGGAGCUGGCCUCUGUGAUGUCAGCUGCCACUCUCCAGCCCAGUGGGGCCAGCCUCCUGACUCUCAGGCCACAGCGGGUUUUGCACAGUCCAUGGUGGAGCCCAGCCAUGAACUUUCCCCAGCUGGGCAGCCACAGCCGGCUGCAGUCUGGCAGAGUUGGAGGAGUGGAGAUAGGCCGGAGACAGGGCUGUUUGACUUUGGAAUUAAAUGCACCGAAGCAAUGGACGUAAUCAGCAACUCUGGCGCUCUUAUGCCACUUAAUUUCUCUCGCUUUUUGAGAAACUUUGGGAGACUUGGAUGAGACUGGCCUUGGCAAGACCUGGGCUAGACCACAUGAAGCCAGAGGAAGGACGACGAAGCCUGGGGGAACUGGCCGAGGACCAACACAGACCACUCCUGCCUCCCACCCGCCAGGCCCAGAAGGCCCGGAGCCCUGGACAGGUGAGGGUGGUCUGGGCAGCAGGUGUUUUGUGGCUUUUGGCUACUUACCAGAAGUAAAUCACUUCGUUUCCCCGUUUCCUCCCCUCCACCAAGAUUUGUUGACAUCCUCUAAUUUACUUGGGGCAUUUUGUUCUGUAACUGGAGAAGGAAAGGGACUGUCUGCUGGGAGCAUUUCCAAGAAGAGAAGGAGUAAGGAGGGAACGGUGCCCUCUUCCCCGGCCCCUCGGCCUGCAUUCAAGGCCAGUGGAGCUGGUAAGGCCUGGCAACAUCUGGGCUCAGUGACCCACGGGGAUCUUAUGAGGAAGAAAUGGGUCAUAUGUAGCUGAGGGACCAGUCCAGCAUCUGGCCUGAGAACUUUCUCUACAGGUGCUGUGGGCUCCCAGGCCUGCUGUCCGGGGAAGAGCCAGGAGCCAUCCUCUCUGAGCUCGCUGCCUUGUCAGAGUCACUGGUGACACGGGGGAAAUUGAGGACCACAGCGGUACGUCUUAAAUCAAAGCCCGGGCCAUCAAUCUCCCAGAACAGACUGAAAUCACAAGGUGGGUGGCCCGGACUGCCGCUGGAUGGACAGGCAAGCGAUAUUAAAAAACUGGAAUCUUGA
This is a long non-coding RNA of Neofelis nebulosa (Clouded leopard), 2413 nucleotides long. RefSeq lists it as uncharacterized. The transcript is spliced from 4 exons. Lineage: Eukaryota; Metazoa; Chordata; Mammalia; Carnivora; Felidae. The record is from RefSeq and is a predicted model, not a curated record.